This 329-nucleotide unclassified non-coding RNA is filed under the name soil metagenome. RNAcentral's name for it is "partial contains 5.8S ribosomal RNA, internal transcribed spacer 2, and large subunit ribosomal RNA". The stretch from base 1 to 120 matches the Rfam family "5.8S ribosomal RNA", at positions 35 to 154 of the family's 154-position model. The record is from RNAcentral.
GAUGAAGAACGCAGCGAAAUGCGAUACGUAGUGUGAAUUGCAGAAUUCAGUGAAUCAUCGAAUCUUUGAACGCACAUUGCGCCCCUUGGUAUUCCGAGGGGCAUGCCUGUUCGAGCGUCAUUAUAACCCCUCAAGCUCAGCUUGGUGUUGGGGCCUGCUGCACUGGCAGCACUUAAAAUCAGUGGCGGCGCCAUCUGGCUCUAAGCGUAGUAAUUCUUCUCGCUAUGGAGUCCUGGUGGAUGCUUGCCAUCAACCCCCAAUUUUUCUAUGGUUGACCUCGGAUCAGGUAGGGAUACCCGCUGAACUUAAGCAUAUCAAUAAGCGGAGGA